RNAcentral lists this transfer RNA (72 nucleotides) under Camelus bactrianus (Bactrian camel). It matches the Rfam family "tRNA". From Rfam's summary of the family: Transfer RNA (tRNA) molecules are approximately 80 nucleotides in length. Their secondary structure includes four short double-helical elements and three loops (D, anti-codon, and T loops). Lineage: Eukaryota; Metazoa; Chordata; Mammalia; Artiodactyla; Camelidae. The record is from Rfam by way of RNAcentral. RNAcentral also lists the same sequence under 1 other name.
GAGGGUAUAGCUCAGUGGUAGAAUGCAUGCUUAGUAUGUAUAAGGUCCUGGGUUCAAUCCCCAGUACCUCUG